Bubalus bubalis (water buffalo) is the source of this 6375-nucleotide long non-coding RNA. RefSeq lists it as uncharacterized. The transcript has 2 exons. The record is from RefSeq and is a predicted model, not a curated record. Lineage: Eukaryota; Metazoa; Chordata; Mammalia; Artiodactyla; Bovidae.
CUGAUUCGAUGGAGGUGAGUCUGAGUGAACCCCGGGAGUUGGUGAUGGACAGGGAGGCCUGGCGUGCUGCGAUUCAUGGGGUCGAAAAGAGUCGGACACGACUGAGCGAGUGAUCUGAUCUAAUCUGACUGGGCCUAUAUACCCAAUCCCCCCUUUACUGCGGGUUGUAGAAUGGACAGAUAAAGAACCAAUCUUAUCCACCAAUGAUUCAGUACAUAGGCCUCCUCCUUAGCUUGGAGGGGCCCUUUCAUCCUGAGGAAGAAGGGAGACUAAUUAAUUUUUCUCUCGAGUAUGAAGUCCUUCCUCUAUACAUGAGUCUAGCAGAAUUAUACAUUAACUUUAGCCGACAGACAUGGGCUUCCAUUCUGCUUCCAAAGAAGAACUUUCGGAGAUUGCUUGGACUGUUUACUGCCCUUUCUUUCUAUGAGAACCAUGUCAACACUACUGAAACGCUAGGAAAAGGACAAAAAUCUUUAUGCAAAGGGUUUACAUAUAAGAGCUUUAAAUGCACUCCUGGUUCAUUGGGACAGAUGUCAAGCUAAAUCAGGGAAAUUAAUGUUUGGGUCCAAUUACACCAUUGUUGAUAGGGAACCCCAUGGUAUGUGGUUGUCUAACUGCUCAGAUGAUAUUAACAGCACUGUAUGUGAUUAUGCUACUCAAGUAGCAUAGAAGGUUAUGCUACGAUGGAACAUUACCAUGACAAAGGACUUCUUGGCUGGCUUGACGGUGGAAUGGCACCCCCUCACCCUCGAAUCGUCCUCAAUAAACAGAUUGGGCCUGAACAAUGGGACAUCUGGAAAGUUGCCGCGAGCACCAAAGAACUUGGAAGUUGGACUGGAUAUUUCAUGGGGACCAGCCGUAGUCAUAGUAACUAUUCCUUUUGUUAUAAUCUUUCAUAUUUCAUGCAAGGUUGUGUUCCCCUUCCUUUUGUUAUAGCUAUAGGGAACUUGCAGUUUAAUAAGACUUUACAUUCUGUGACUUGUAUAGCUUGCAGAUUGUAUAAUUGUCUUAAUUCCUGUGUUUCUUUGAAAAACAAAUCCCUUUUGAUUCUUCAGUCUCGACGUAAUCUAUGGUUGCCAGUAGAUCUCCAACGACCGUGGAAAGAGGGUCCUAUGGCAGGACUUGCCUCCCUGCUGCUUACUAAAUUACUUCGAUGAUCUAAAUGAUUCAUUGGAUGGUUAAUUCUUGGCAUUUUGGGAUUAAUAGCCAUUUGCACUAUUGUCACUGUCGCAGACAUUGCUUUACAAACCUGAAUUCACACACACACCUUUAUUCAAAAUUGGACCAAAGAUGCUUAUACUAUGUGGACCACUCAGGUGCAGAUAAAUGAGGAAGUUCAAGAUGAAAUACAGGAAAUAAAAACAGCCAUCCAGUGGGUCAGAGAUCAAUGAAUAGAUUUACAAAAACAAGUUAUACUAAAAUGUGACUGGAAUUCUUCUCUAUUUUGUAUUACCCCUAUUUGGUUCAACUAUAGUGCCUACUAUUGGGAACAAAUCAAAUUUCAUUUGUAAGACAUACAUGAUAAUGCUUCCUUAAAUGUACGAUUAUUACAAAAGGAAAUCUUUGAAACCUUCUCUAAGAGUCUACCCUCUUCCAACAGUUUGGAAACCUUAGCUGAACAGCUAGCUGAUCAAUUACCUGGGCUAGACCCUCGAGGAUGGUUUCUAAGCAUUACACAUAGUAUUUGAUCUGGAACUAUAACGCUGAUAAUUAUCCUGGUGAUUAUAUUUGUAGUAUACCAAUGCCUUUCAACUAAAAUUGUUCAAACUAAACAAACUCAAUUGGUCAGGGCCUUUUUCACAAAAGUAUCUACAGUCACCCCCAAUUAUGAAAAAAUUAAAAAGGGGGGAAUUGUCAGGGGAUGUUCUACUUUAAGGAAUCCAGUAUGUUGUAUUUUCUUCCUUUGUGUGCCAUUUCUCAAGGACUCUCUGUUCCUUAUCAGUUCUGGAAAACAGGAACGAGCAGAGCUGCAUGCAGCUCUCAGGACUGAGAUCAUGGGAAAGACCACCUGCUUGGAUUCCCUUCAGUGACUCCCUUCAGUGACUCUCUUCAGUGACCUUUUACUUACAGGACUAUCCAUUUUGUUGCAACUCAUGGAAUUUCAUUCUUAAUGGCUGAGUAAUCAUUUUAUUGAAGAUAUAUAAGCACGCGUUUCUGCAAAUAAAGUACCCUUGUUUCACUCGAGAUUUGGGUGCCCCACAUCCUUCUUUUCUUCGCCUUCUUUUCAUCUACUCCAGUCCCCAAGUCCCGGUCUGUAAAGACCAUAACAGAUAAGGAAGAUAGACAUGUUCCUGUGUAUUCCCCAUUUUAAAAUUUUUUUUAUUUGUAGUUUCAGUGUGUGAUGUGCUCGUUCAACUAUGCCCUGUGCUUGUGGAUUAUAAGGAAUAUCUGUAAUAUGUUUAAUGGAAAAUGAUUGUAAAAAUUGUUUGAAUUGCCUAGAAAUAUAAGUAGGGCCAUUGUCUGUUUUUAUAGAACUAGGUGUUCCCAUUAUUGUAAAGCAGGUUACUGCCGCUGCUGCUGCUAAGUCACUUCAGUCGUGUCCGACUCUGUGCGACCCCAUAGAUGGCAGCCCACCAGGCUCCCCCGUCCCUGAGAUUCUCCAGGCAAGAACACUGGAGUGGCAAGUUAAUAGGUUCAAGAGCUUUGUCUACAUCAUAUUGACACAUGGUGGGAGAAUUCAUCAUUCCUUGAAGCAACACAGUCCAUUGAUAAUGUUUAUGAGGCCCGAUAUGAUUAUGAUAAGGAAGAAAGAAAGCAAAUCUCUCUCGGUCUAGAGGGUGUAAAGGUAUAGUAAAAAAGCAAUCCUGUAAAUCUAUGAUAAUAAUAUUCCAGUUUUGAGGAAUAAGUGGUAAGUGAUGGAAUUUCUAGUUGUAAUGCACCCAUAGGUUUCAUAGAUGUAUUAACUUUUCGAAGAUCUGUUAAAAGACACCAUUUGCCAGAUUUCUUUUAUAUUACAAAAAUGGGAGAAUUCCAAGGGGAACAAGAUUCCUCAAUAUGUUUUAAUUUCAAUUGUGUAUCUAUAAGUUCCUUAGCAGCCUCUAAUUUCUCUUUUGCAAGGAGCCACUGCUCUGUCUAAAUAGGCUCAUCAUUUUUCCAAGUUAUUUUAAUAAUUGUAUUGUUUGUUAAAUAAGUGGUGGCCCAAAGGAAAAAUGUGGAAUAUAUAUUUGAGUUUGCCAUUGCAUAAGUAAAUUUCUUCCUAUUAAAUUAAGGAGUGCAUCCAUCACAUAAGGUCGUAAUGUUGCAGGCUGGCCUGGUCCCUCAUUUGGAUAUAUUUGGACAUUUUGAUAAACCUCUUGUAUUUUGGUUUGAGAAAUCCCUGCAAUUUGGUGAGAAAUUUCCUGUAUAGGCCAAGAUUUGGGCCAUAAAUGUUUGGAAAUAAUGGUAAUAUCAGAUCCAGUAUCAAGAAGACCAGAAAAUCUUUUGCCAUUAAUUUUCAUAUUUAUAUUUGGUCGUGCAUAUUCAAAUACUAUUGAUGUCCAUAAGGAUUGCUUUUCAUCUGUACUACCAAAUCCACCUGUCCUUAUACCAUUAGAGGAGUUAAUAGAAAUGUAAGGUAAAAGAAGUAAUUGGGCAAUUUUGUCCCCCUUUUUGAAUUGUCAUAGUAUCUGAGAUGACAUCAUAAUUUGAAUUUUUUUUUAUAAUCUGAAUCAAUUAUUUCAGGGUGGAUAGCCAUUUCUUUAGAAGUCAGACUAGAUUGGCCAAGUAUAAGGCAGAAGGUUUGUGGGGGUAGGGGUCCAUAAAAUCCAGUAGGUAUUCUAGAAGGGACUGCUUGAGGAAAGAGAAGAAAAUCAUUUGGUGCCUGACUCUUGUGUGAGGCCUCCCUCAUAGCUCUGCUGGUAAAGAGUCCGCCUGCAAUGCAGGAGACCCAGGUUUGAUUCCUGGGUCAGGAAGAUCCCCUGGAGAUUCUAGAAGGGAAGAUAUUCUAGAAGGGACUGCUUGAGGAAAGAGAAGAAAAUCAUUUAGGGCUGGUAUAUUGAUGGCAUCAUUGCUGGAUGUUGAAGGUUUGAGGGAAAAGAUGACGUUUGCCCCUGGUUUUUGUUGAUGGGGACCCACCCGGGGAGUCCCCAUCUUUUAGUUUCCUGAAAUAGGGUUCCCUUCAACAUCAUACUUAGAUCGAUAUUUUUAGCCCAAUGUACCCCUUUGUGACAUUGAGGGCAGACUCCUAGAGGUUUUUUAGUAGUUUUAAUUUUUUCUGUGUGUUUUUUAGGGCAGUUCUUUUUUAAAUGGCUCUUAUCUCCACAAACAAAACAUCCUUCAUUCCCCUUUUUAAAGGCAGCAGCCAUUGCUUCAGCUAACAUUUGCAUUGUCUGAAUUUCUGAUCCUAAGUUGCGACAAGCCUUCAAAUAAUCAAUAACAUUCCCAAUCUCACGAAUUGGAGUGAUGGCUCUUUAACACUCCUGAUUCGCAUUCUCAUAUGCAAGUAGUUUUUCUAAUUGCACUCUUGUCUCUUCUCCAACAACAUUAUGGGAGAUAGCAACUUCCAGUCUAGUUAAAAAAUCAGCAUAGGCUUCAUUAGGCCCUUGUAAUAUCUUUGUGUAGUUACUUUUAGGUUCCCCUUAAGGAGUAAUUCGAUCCCAGGCUUCAAGGGCAGCUUCUUUCAAUUGCUCAUGCCACAAAGGAGGGCAUUGUAUCUGAGCUUUCACCAAGUCAAAUUGCCCCAUCCUGGUUAACAUUUUAAAAGUAAUUUGGUUUUGGGGAGUGCCAGCUCGAGUGUUAGAAUUGGCAUGAUCUCGGGUCACAUCAUGAAACCACGUUAUCCAUUGAAGAUAUUUUUCUGGUUUAAGAAAAGCUUUUCUCAAAAUUCACCAAUCAUAAGGAAUAAAAUUUCCAAUAGAAGAUGCCAUAGCAUUUAGAAGUUCUUUUGUAAAAGGAGAAUGAGGGCCGUACAUAGUUACAGCCUUUUUCAUCUGUUGCAUGUGAGAAAAAUCAAUGCCUUCGUAUUGUGGUAUUAGUUGCCCUUGAGCAUAAACAUUCCCUAACACAGGAAAGGCAAAAAGAUCAUCAGCCUCAGAGACUCGAGAUUGCAAAGCCAGUAAAUCAGAAAGCCUUCGUCGUGAAGAAGAACGAGUGGAUCGUCUGUUUUCAUAAAUAUGAGUGUGUGUUAGGGGCUUAUAAUUGUCAUCAAAAAAAGUAAUGUUGGCUUUAGUGUCAGAGAGCAUCAGAAGAAUCAUCAUCAGAUUAAUUUUGUCCUCUAAUUGAGGGGACCUUCGGUUUCAUGCCCGUUACAAGAGGAGGAGGAGGAGUGCUUGGGACAGCUGGAGCAGGGAUGGUGGGAAAGUUUUGAAACAUUUUAUCUUUCUGUAAUUGGGCCUUCUGUAAAGUCUUAUCAUCUAAUUUAUAUUCGUAUAAUGAGCAUUCCGCUUGUUGACAAAUAUCAGGGGGGCUAGCAUUGCCUUUAAAUGGCAAGAUCACGGCUUUAAUGAGGGCCCACAAGGGCCAGAAAUUUAUUGGAAUAUUUUCUCCCCGUCUUGCAGCUUGCUCAACAUUUUCUUUAACCCAGUUCCAAAUUUCUAAAUCAAAACUGCCUUCAUCAGGGAACCAGGGAUUAUAUUUAACCACCGUUUGGAGACAAGGCUCUAUCUUUUAACGCAAAACCGAAAGUCCUUUAACCUUAAAUAAAUGAUAAAGCAGAAAAGUGGUGGGGCUUUCCAGCCAUUUGUCCUAUAACCCAGCACUUACCGACCUCCGUAGGUCCUAACAGUUACUCUGUCCACUUGCCUAGGGCUUUCACCAGGUCCCUGUUCGGGCGCCACUUGUCACAGCCUUUGUAGACGGGGACCUGGGGACUGGAGUUGACGAGAAAAAGGACGCAGGGGACCUAGGUCUCGAGUGAAACAAGGGUGCUUUAUUUGCAGAAACGUAUGUUUCUAUGUCUUCAUACAAGGUAGCUUUAGGCAGUAAAAUAAUUGAGGAUAAACAAAGCCAAGCAAAUAAUAAUCUUCAAAGGGCCAGAAAGCAUUCCAUAUCCUGAGGAAGAGGGGCAUAACUAAAUAGAUUACCUUUAAGUAAAAGGUCACUGAAGGGAGUCACUGAAAGGAGUCCAAGCAGAUGCCCUUUCUCAUGAUCUCAGUCCUGAGAACUGCAUGCAGCUCUGUUCAUUCCUAAUUUCCCGGAACUGGUAAGGAAUAAGAGUUCUUGAGAAACGGGACACAAAAGAAGAAAAUAACAUAUUGGAUCCCUUAAAGUUGAACGUCCCCUGACACAGAGCAAUUAUUUUGAGCAUCAAAUUUGAUCGGAACCAGGAUAAUAUGUGUAUGUGUAUGAAUCACAUUUAACAGCUGUCAUUACCAUUUGCUAAUGUUGUAUUCAAAGAACUACAUUCUGAAUAUAUCAAGGUUUCCUGUUUCCAUGAAUAAAAUGUAAACACUUCUGAAA